Molecule: ribosomal RNA, 493 nt
Filed under: uncultured bacterium
Lineage: Bacteria
Description: partial 16S ribosomal RNA
Rfam family: Bacterial small subunit ribosomal RNA
Source: RNAcentral
AACGAACGCUGGCGGCGCGUCUUAAACAUGCAAGUCGAACGGCAGGAAGGGGCUUGCCCCUUCUGAGAGUGGCGGACUGGUGAGUAACACGUGGGUGACAUACCUUUUAGUUGGGGAUAGCUAUUAGAAAUAGUAGGUAAUACCGAAUGUGACCGUACCUGUUAGAGGGGUACGAGGAAAGGAGCUAAGGCUUCGCUACAAGAAUGGCUCGCGGCCCAUUAUGCUCGUUGGUGAGGUAACGGCCCACCAAGGCGAUGAUGGGUAUCCGGCCUGAGAGGGUGAACGGACACAUUGGGACUGAGAUACGGCCCAGACUUCUACGGGAGGCAGCAGUUAAGAAUAUUCCGCAAUGGACGAAAGUCUGACGGAGCGACGCCGCGUGGAUGAAGAAUGCCGAAAGGUUGUAAAAUCCUUUUAAGCCUGAUGAAUAAGCACAGUAGGGAAUGAUUGUGCGGUGACCGUAGGGCUUGAAUAAGCACCGGCUAAUUACGUG